GCCUUUGCUUGUUGCUGCUGUGUAUCUCAUGCUGAUUGAUAUGCUGAAACAUACUGCUGCUAAAAGCUCACUGGCAGAACAUUAAUUACCUUAAAAAGGUUUCAGCCAAAUUGACCCAUCCAUCAACAGCAAGCAGCCAGGUGGUGCAGAAAGAGGAGGGGGACAGGACAGAGGGUGAAAAAGAGAAAGAAAAGAAGAACAAGCAGACUGUUUCCCACCUGCUUAUAGACAGCCACCAUUGUCCCAGUACCCAAAUAGUCUGCUGUGUCGAGUCUUCUUGACUACCGCCCUGUCGCAGUCACCCCCAUCCUGAUUAAGUGUUUUGGGGAACUGAUUCUUCAGCACAUCCAAGACAACAUCUCAGCCAGCCAGCCCUCACCCAUAUGCACUGAGAACCAACAGAUGCACAAAGGAUGCCAUAUGCCCUUCGCUCAGUCAGCCAGAUUCUUCUCAACUUUUACAUAGGAGUAAUAGGAGGCAUCCUGACAGGGAACAUCACAAACUGGCAUGGUUCAUGCACAACCCAGAACAUCAGUGGUACCCAUCUUCAGGGUAUCAGUGGCAUUGCUGAAUAGAGGUGUCUGCACAGAGUACUUAAAGACAACAGCCACACCCACAGUAUUUUCAGCCGUCUGCCAUCUGGCAAAAGAUACAGAAGUAUCUGUCUACCGAGUAGCUUUUUUUCUUGUUGUGUUGUGUUGUGAACCGACUAAUAAAUUAAUCUUUAACUUUUUUACCAUUAAACUUUAAAUGCUGAUUUGGUUGGCCUACUAUCUGACCACAGAACUGGGGUGAAUGUGGUGACGUGAGCAAUGUUCAGACACAACAAUUAUUACUUUGUGAAAACCAAUACACAAGAUGUCAGUAUUGUCUGUGCCUUUGAAAACAAUUAAUUUAUUAUUUAACCUGCAAGAACUUAAGCAUUAAAACCAACUGUAACUCAUCAAAUCACUGUUUUGAUGGACAUGCCCCCAACACCAUUGCUCAAAACCUUUCGCACACAGUACUAAAAAAUAACAUUGUAAAACAGGAAUAUGUUAACACUUCUGUGCCUAAAAAUACAACCAAAGCUGUGAAUCCAAUUACAUUUAGCAGCUGUCAGCCAGGGUGUACAUACAGCGCAUGCCUUGUUUUUGACAGUAACAAUUAAAACCUGUUGAGCUCUAAACCCACACUAAUCAGUUUGUUUUUUUGGUCCCUAGGGGGCAGUGCAACACUUUGUAAACAAAUCACAGACAUCUUAUACAGAUGAUAUGGCAAAUGUGUUUGGUGAUGGUGGUUAUAGGUCCUGUAUACCAGUGUUACUCAGUAACUGGUUACUGAUUUUUAUUUCCAAAUCAGUAAUUAUACAGCAGUUACUAUAUUAAGCUACACUGCAUUACUGCUUUGCCAAAAUGCUGUUUGUUUGUUUGUUUGUCUGUUUGUUUUGUCUGAGGUAGGCUACCUUACAUGGAUGUAUAUCAAUGGUAGGCCAGGUGAGGUCACAUCAGCUACAAGCUAAAAAGCUGAACAAAGUAAGGACAAUGAGGGAAAAAGGUACCUACAGCUUCAACAGCUGGAGGUAUUGUUGUUAUUUUGAGGUUGUCAGUCAAAGUUGCAAAGAAUAUUUUUCAUCAAUUGCAAACUUUGUUUGAGCAGCAAAACACUGUUAGCUCCUAAAAAUACAACACUGGCGUUAUAUGUCUGAAGCAUCUGAAUGGAAUGUGAAAAAAAACCAAAACACCAGUGCAGGACAAGGUUGUGGAAAGAUGUUACGUCAAGAUGUGAAGAAGCACAUUGCUGGGUAUGUCGCGGAAGAGAAGCAAUAUAGCCAUAAGGUUGCAGGCUACAAAACCAAAACAAUGAAUUAAAGGAUGCUAAAAUAGUGGGUUUAUCAUUGAGUGACCCCUUGCACAUUAAACAUUAUCAUUUGGUCCCAUUAUAAUCAUAAACAUAUAGAAUAGAGCAUCUUAGCUAAACCCUUUAACACUUACUCUUCAAUCACUAUUCUGUUUUGCUCACUGACAUGCAGCUAUGGACAAAUGUCACACAUAAGAGCAACUCUGCAUAAGUUACUUGACUGUCAUCUGUGGCUUGUAGUGAAGUUGAAGGAAACAGACACCUUAAAAAAAAUCUAUGUUCUUCCAGACUAUGUGCACAGCAGAGCAAACCCGCCAUGAAUCCAUCACGGACCAGGCUGGGCUCAGAUGAAAAUGUAGAAUUUAUGUUCUGUUUCAGUUACGUCAAUAGACACAGUGCUUUCAAGGUAUUUUAGUGGGACUAUAGUGUAAAAAUAGAAAUGUAUAUAUAUGUAUAAAAAUCUACGUUUACACUCAGCAUGUCUGCAAUCAGGGUAAACAGGCAAGCUGUAACCAUGGUAACAGCAGCAUGACAGAUUAACACAACCACAUUAACUGCAUCAGGCUUGGGUCGGGUUUUGGACCCAAAAAGUAGAGCCCUUGUCAAGUUCAGGUCGGGCUUGGUCGUGACCACGGCUCGGUUGGACUCGGACAGAAAAAUGUGUCCCGAGCAGCACACUGAUGAACCGAAAGACAUGCAGUCACUCCAAGCUGCAGCGCUAUUACAUCAGGGGGAGCAUAGCACAGGGAGGUGCAUCAGUUUGGUUUGUGCCGCUAAAGGAAAGCCUCAACAAUUUGGAGAAAGCAGCCUACUGUAGCCUCUUUGACUGAUCAAAUUGCUACCUGUCAUACAACAGGUCAGACAAACUGUUAUUGAGCUAACAGGCAGCCUUUCUAACAAGCCUGCUGCCUUCAGAGCACACAUUUAUCAGCAGAAGGAUUUCCAAUAGAAGCUGCUUAAAGAUCUUCCAGCUGACUAUCCACACACUGAGGUUGCUGUAAGUGAUGAGAUGAGUGGGAAGAUAAGAGGAGCUAACUGACCUGAUA
Molecule: long non-coding RNA, 2885 nt
Organism: Acanthopagrus latus (yellowfin seabream)
Lineage: Eukaryota; Metazoa; Chordata; Actinopteri; Spariformes; Sparidae
Exons: 3
Source: RefSeq, a predicted model, not a curated record